GUGGUGGCUCAGUGGUACAGACUUGCCUGGCAUGUGUGAGGCCCUGGGUUCAAUUCUCAGCACCACA
This 67-nucleotide transfer RNA is filed under the name Marmota monax (woodchuck). RNAcentral's name for it is "tRNA.Ala". Lineage: Eukaryota; Metazoa; Chordata; Mammalia; Rodentia; Sciuridae. The record is from RNAcentral.